GACGAACGCUGGCGGCGUGGAUUAGGCAUGCAAGUCGCGCGACGCUAGAGCUUCGGCUCUAGACGGAGCGGCGAACGGGUGAGUAACACGUGAACAAUCUGUCCUUACAUUCGGGAUAAUUCACCGAAAGGUGUUGUAAUACCGGGGAGGGUGUGGCGGGGGCAUCUCCGUCAUAAGGAAGGUCCCGGAGUAAUCCGGGUCGUGCAAGGAGGAGUUCGCGGUCUAUCAGCUUGUUGGGGGGUAACGGCUCACCAAGGCGACGACGGAUAGCUGGUCUGAGAGGAUGGUCAGCCACAUUGGAACUGAGAUACUGUCCAGACUCCUACGGGAGGCUGCAGUCGAGAAUCUUGGGCAAUGCACGAAAGUGUGACCCAGCGACGCCGCGUGC
RNAcentral lists this ribosomal RNA (388 nucleotides) under uncultured bacterium. RNAcentral describes it as "bacterial SSU rRNA". It matches the Rfam family "Bacterial small subunit ribosomal RNA", at positions 28 to 404 of the family's 1533-position model. The record is from RNAcentral.